Molecule: long non-coding RNA, 856 nt
Filed under: Homo sapiens (human)
Lineage: Eukaryota; Metazoa; Chordata; Mammalia; Primates; Hominidae
Description: long non-coding RNA NONHSAT192091.1
Source: RNAcentral
GCAGAACUCUGGGUGUCUCACCAUGGCCUGGAUCCCUCUACUUCUCCCCCUCCUCACUCUCUGCACAGGCUCUGAGGCCUCCUAUGAGCUGACACAGCCACCCUCGGUGUCAGUGUCCCCAGGACAGACGGCCAGGAUCACCUGCUCUGGAGAUGCAUUGCCAAAGCAAUAUGCUUAUUGGUACCAGCAGAAGCCAGGCCAGGCCCCUGUGCUGGUGAUAUAUAAAGACAGUGAGAGGCCCUCAGGGAUCCCUGAGCGAUUCUCUGGCUCCAGCUCAGGGACAACAGUCACGUUGACCAUCAGUGGAGUCCAGGCAGAAGACGAGGCUGACUAUUACUGUCAAUCAGCAGACAGCAGUGUGUUGGGUGUUCGGCGGAGGGACCAAGCUGACCGUCCUAGGUCAGCCCAAGGCUGCCCCCUCGGUCACUCUGUUCCCACCCUCCUCUGAGGAGCUUCAAGCCAACAAGGCCACACUGGUGUGUCUCAUAAGUGACUUCUACCCGGGAGCCGUGACAGUGGCCUGGAAGGCAGAUAGCAGCCCCGUCAAGGCGGGAGUGGAGACCACCACACCCUCCAAACAAAGCAACAACAAGUACGCGGCCAGCAGCUACCUGAGCCUGACGCCUGAGCAGUGGAAGUCCCACAAAAGCUACAGCUGCCAGGUCACGCAUGAAGGGAGCACCGUGGAGAAGACAGUGGCCCCUACAGAAUGUUCAUAGGUUCUCAUCCCUCACCCCCCACCACGGGAGACUAGAGCUGCAGGAUCCCAGGGGAGGGGUCUCUCCUCCCACCCCAAGGCAUCAAGCCCUUCUCCCUGCACUCAAUAAACCCUCAAUAAAUAUUCUCAUUGUCAAUC